CCUACGGGGGGCAGCAGUGAGGAAUAUUGGUCAAUGGUCGGGAGACUGAACCAGCCAAGCCGCGUGAGGGAUGAAGGUACAGAGUAUCGUAAACCUCUUUUGUCAGGGAACAAAGGCGGGGACGUGUCCCCGGAUGAGUGUACCUGAAGAAAAAGCAUCGGCUAACUCCGUGCCAGCAGCCGCGGUAAUACGGAGGAUGCGAGCGUUAUCCGGAUUUAUUGGGUUUAAAGGGUGCGCAGGCGGUCUGUUAAGUCGGCGGUAAAAGCCCGGGGCUCAACCCCGGCCCGCCGUUGAAACUGGCAGUCUCGAGUUGGAGAGAAGUAUGCGGAAUGCGCGGUGUAGCGGUGAAAUGCAUAGAUAGCGCGCAGAACUCCGAUUGCGAAGGCAGCAUGCCGGCUCCACACUGACGCUGAGGCACGAAAGCGUGGGUAUCGAACAGGAUUAGAUACCCGAGUAGUC
RNAcentral lists this ribosomal RNA (459 nucleotides) under uncultured bacterium. Its description in RNAcentral is "partial 16S ribosomal RNA". It matches the Rfam family "Bacterial small subunit ribosomal RNA", at positions 338 to 795 of the family's 1533-position model. The record is from RNAcentral.